RNAcentral lists this long non-coding RNA (266 nucleotides) under Phoenix dactylifera (date palm). RNAcentral describes it as "long non-coding RNA (PDAC_LNC005374)". Lineage: Eukaryota; Viridiplantae; Streptophyta; Magnoliopsida; Arecales; Arecaceae. The record is from RNAcentral.
AAUUUCAGUAAAACGAGUAAACAUAUCAGUUAUGGACUCAGUAGAUUCCAUUUUAAACAAUUCAUACUUGUGUACUAAUAUGUUUACUUUUGACUCCUUAACUUGAUUGGUCCCUUCAUGAGUGACCUCAAGUUUGUCCCAAAUUUCUUUAGCAGAGAUGCAAGUAGAUAUUCUAUUAAAUUCACUUACAUCUAAUGAGCAAUAAAGUACAUUUAUAGCUUUUGCAUUUAACUGUGCCAAUCUUCUAUCACUUUCAUUCCAAUCCA